This 77-nucleotide transfer RNA is filed under the name Salmonella enterica subsp. enterica serovar Meleagridis. RNAcentral's name for it is "tRNA-Pro". It matches the Rfam family "tRNA". From Rfam's summary of the family: Transfer RNA (tRNA) molecules are approximately 80 nucleotides in length. Their secondary structure includes four short double-helical elements and three loops (D, anti-codon, and T loops). Lineage: Bacteria; Pseudomonadati; Pseudomonadota; Gammaproteobacteria; Enterobacterales; Enterobacteriaceae. The record is from RNAcentral.
CGGCACGUAGCGCAGCCUGGUAGCGCACCGUCAUGGGGAGUCGGGGGUCGGAGGUUCAAAUCCUCUCGUGCCGACCA